This 718-nucleotide ribosomal RNA is filed under the name uncultured Staphylococcus sp. Its description in RNAcentral is "bacterial SSU rRNA". It matches the Rfam family "Bacterial small subunit ribosomal RNA", at positions 61 to 760 of the family's 1533-position model. Lineage: Bacteria; Bacillati; Bacillota; Bacilli; Caryophanales; Staphylococcaceae. The record is from RNAcentral.
GUCGAGCGAACGGACGAGAAGCUUGCUUUGCUGAUGUUAGCGGCGGACGGGUGAGUAACACGUGGAUAACCUACCUAUAAGACUGGGAUAACUUCGGGAAACCGGAGCUAAUACCGGAUAAUAUUUUGAACCGCAUGGUUCAAAAGUGAAAGACGGUCUUGCUGUCACUUAUAGAUGGAUCCGCGCUGCAUUAGCUAGUUGGUAAGGUAACGGCUUACCAAGGCAACGAUGCAUAGCCGACCUGAGAGGGUGAUCGGCCACACUGGAACUGAGACACGGUCCAGACUCCUACGGGAGGCAGCAGUAGGGAAUCUUCCGCAAUGGGCGAAAGCCUGACGGAGCAACGCCGCGUGAGUGACGAAGGUCUUCGGAUCGUAAAACUCUGUUAUUAGGGAAGAACAUAUGUGUAAGUAACUGUGCACAUCUUGACGGUACCUAAUCAGAAAGCCACGGCUAACUACGUGCCAGCAGCCGCGGUAAUACGUAGGUGGCAAGCGUUAUCCGGAAUUAUUGGGCGUAAAGCGCGCGUAGGCGGUUUUUUAAGUCUGAUGUGAAAGCCCACGGCUCAACCGUGGAGGGUCAUUGGAAACUGGAAAACUUGAGUGCAGAAGAGGAAAGUGGAAUUCCAUGUGUAGCGGUGAAAUGCGCAGAGAUAUGGAGGAACACCAGUGGCGAAGGCGACUUUCUGGUUCUGUAACUGACGCUGAUGUGCGAAAGC